Molecule: non-coding RNA, 402 nt
Organism: Micropterus salmoides (largemouth bass)
Lineage: Eukaryota; Metazoa; Chordata; Actinopteri; Centrarchiformes; Centrarchidae
Source: the annotation of a RefSeq genome assembly
AUGACUUUGAUCUGCGUCCUUAUCUGGACUCUCCUCUGCUGCUGCUUCACAGAGUCCAGAGGCCAGGUCACAGUGACUCAGCCUGGAGCAGUGAGCUCUGCUCUGGGAGGCUCCGUUUCCAUCAGAUGUAGGACCAGUCAGAAUGUUGAAGUUUGGAGCAACUACCACCUUUUAGCCUGGUACCAACAGAGAGAUGGAGAAACUCCUAAACUCCUCAUUUACUCUGCUAGCACUCGAGCAUCAGGGAUUCCAGAUCGUUUUACAGGCAGUGGAUCAAACUCUGACUUCACUCUGACCAUCAGUGGAGUCCAGACUGAAGAUGCAGCGGUUUACUACUGUCAGAGUCGACACUAUAUCAACAGUCAGCAUGUGUUCACACAGUGAAAAAGUGUCUUACAAAAA